GCAUAUCAAUAAGCGGAGGAAAAGAAACCAACAGGGGAUUGCCUUAGUAACGGCGAGUGAAGCGGCAACAGCUCAAAUUUGAAAUCUGGCCUCUUUGGGGUCCGAGUUGUAAUUUGGAGAGGAUGUUUCGGGUACGGUCCGGGCUUAAAUUUCUUGGAACAGAAUGUCACAGAGGGUGAGAAUCCCGUCUGGAGUCUGCGACACGGCCUAUGUGAAACUCCUUCGACGAGUCGAGUUGUUUGGGAAUGCAGCUCUAAAUGGGUGGUAAAUUUCAUCUAAAGCUAAAUAUUGGCCAGAGACCGAUAGCGCACAAGUAGAGUGAUCGAAAGAUGAAAAGCACUUUGAAAAGAGAGUUAAACAGUACGUGAAAUUGUUGAAAGGGAAGCGCUGGCAACCAGACUUGCGCGUCGGGGUUCCCCCUGGCUUCUGCCUGGGCUACUCCCCGGCGCUCAGGCCAACAUCGGUUUUGGGGGUCGGUUAAAGGCCCCGGGAAUGUACCUACCCUUCGGGGUAGACUUAUAGCCCGGGGUGUCAUGCGGCCACCCGGGACCGAGGAACGCGCUUCGGCUCGGAUGUUGGCGUAAUGGUUGUCAGCGACCCGUCUUGAAACACGGACCAAGGAGUCUAACAUCUAUGCGAGUGUUAGGGUGUCAAACCCUUACGCGGAAUGAAAGUGAACGGAGGUAGGAAGCCGUAACACGCUGCACUAUCGACCGAUCCUGAAGUUUACGGAUGGAUUUGAGUAAGAGCAUAGCUGUUGGGACCCGAAAGAUGGUGAACUAUGCCUGAAUAGGGUGAAGCCAGAGGAAACUCUGGUGGAGGCUCGCAGCGGUUCUGACGUGCAAAUCGAUCGUCAAAUUUGGGGUAUAGGGGGCGAAAGACUAAUCGAACCAUCUGGUAGCUGGUUCCUGCGA
RNAcentral lists this ribosomal RNA (914 nucleotides) under Cyphellophora sessilis. RNAcentral describes it as "LSU rRNA". It matches the Rfam family "Eukaryotic large subunit ribosomal RNA", at positions 38 to 963 of the family's 3401-position model. Lineage: Eukaryota; Fungi; Ascomycota; Eurotiomycetes; Chaetothyriales; Cyphellophoraceae. The record is from RNAcentral.